RNAcentral lists this ribosomal RNA (460 nucleotides) under uncultured bacterium. Its description in RNAcentral is "partial 16S ribosomal RNA". It matches the Rfam family "Bacterial small subunit ribosomal RNA", at positions 338 to 795 of the family's 1533-position model. The record is from RNAcentral.
CCUACGGGUGGCAGCAGUGAGGAAUAUUGGUCAAUGGGCGCUAGCCUGAACCAGCCAAGUAGCGUGAAGGAUGACUGCCCUAUGGGUUGUAAACUUCUUUUAUAUGGGAAUAAAGUGCAGUAUGUAUACUGCUUUGCAUGUACCUUAUGAAUAAGGAUCGGCUAACUCCGUGCCAGCAGCCGCGGUAAUACGGAGGAUUCGAGCGUUAUCCGGAUUUAUUGGGUUUAAGGGGAGCGUAGGCGGGUUGUUAAGUCAGUUGUGAAAGUUUGCGGCUCAACCGUAAAAUUGCAGUUGAUACUGGGGAUCUUGAGUGGGCGAGAAGUAUGCGGAAUGCGUGGUGUAGCGGUGAAAUGCAUAGAUAUCACGCAGAACUCCGAUUGCGAAGGCAGCAUACCGGCGCCCGACUGACGCUGAGGCACGAAAGCGUGGGGAUCGAACAGGAUUAGAUACCCCGGUAGUC